This 340-nucleotide ribosomal RNA is filed under the name uncultured soil bacterium. RNAcentral describes it as "bacterial SSU rRNA". It matches the Rfam family "Bacterial small subunit ribosomal RNA", at positions 26 to 369 of the family's 1533-position model. The record is from RNAcentral.
AGAUUGAACGCUAGCGGGAUGCUUUACACAUGCAAGUCGAACGGCAGCGCGGACUUCGGUCUGGCGGCGAGUGGCGAACGGGUGAGUAAUAUAUCGGAACGUGCCCAGUAGCGGGGGAUAACUACGCGAAAGCGUGGCUAAUACCGCAUACGCCCUACGGGGGGAAAGGGGGGAUCGCAAGACCUCUCACUAUUGGAGCGGCCGAUAUCAGAUUAGCUAGUUGGUGAGGUAAAGGCUCACCAAGGCGACGAUCUGUAGCUGGUUUGAGAGGACGACCAGCCACACUGGGACUGAGACACGGCCCAGACUCCUACGGGAGGCAGCAGUGGGAAUUUUGGAC